Molecule: ribosomal RNA, 448 nt
Filed under: Yersinia aldovae
Lineage: Bacteria; Pseudomonadati; Pseudomonadota; Gammaproteobacteria; Enterobacterales; Yersiniaceae
Description: bacterial SSU rRNA
Rfam family: Bacterial small subunit ribosomal RNA
Source: RNAcentral
CAGAUUGAACGCUGGCGGCAGGCCUAACACAUGCAAGUCGAGCGGCAGCGGGAAGUAGUUUACUACUUUGCCGGCGAGCGGCGGACGGGUGAGUAAUGUCUGGGAAACUGCCUGAUGGAGGGGGAUAACUACUGGAAACGGUAGCUAAUACCGCAUGACCUCGCAAGAGCAAAGUGGGGGACCUUCGGGCCUCACGCCAUCGGAUGUGCCCAGAUGGGAUUAGCUAGUAGGUGGGGUAAUGGCUCACCUAGGCGACGAUCCCUAGCUGGUCUGAGAGGAUGACCAGCCACACUGGAACUGAGACACGGUCCAGACUCCUACGGGAGGCAGCAGUGGGGAAUAUUGCACAAUGGGCGCAAGCCUGAUGCAGCCAUGCCGCGUGUGUGAAGAAGGCCUUCGGGUUGUAAAGCACUUUCAGCGAGGAGGAAGGCAGUCGUGUUAAUAGCAC